CAAGAAAGUUUUAAUUGUUCGUUCAUCGUUAAAUGGCAAUUUUAUUUCGCCUUCUUUCGUGUAGUUAGGGGAACAUGGUGUAACUCGCACCAUAAGAACUAUUCAAGCUGAUGCAUUUUCCCCUCACAACUUUCGUGAAACUUUUUCAUGCGAUACUUAAGUGUAUACAGUGUUCUACAAAUACCAAAAUCAAUUGUAUGUUUAUACUCUAUGAUAAGAGCCUACCCCCUCUCUUUACGCCCUCUAUAAAGCAUCAUCAAAUGUAAGAUUUGAUAUCAUCGAAUGAUUAAAAAAAACGAGCAGUGUUCUCAGUUUCUUCAUACUUGGCGCGGGUCUGUUUUUUUUUAAGCACCAUCGAUGAAGAGUUCGACUGAACACUUUGCAGAUCUUUGCAUAUCACCACAAAAUUAGGGAUACCAGUAUAUAGCAUUGUUAUAAUUCAACCAU
RNAcentral lists this long non-coding RNA (447 nucleotides) under Mytilus galloprovincialis (Mediterranean mussel). The record is from RNAcentral. Lineage: Eukaryota; Metazoa; Mollusca; Bivalvia; Mytilida; Mytilidae.